This 231-nucleotide ribosomal RNA is filed under the name uncultured bacterium. RNAcentral's name for it is "partial 16S ribosomal RNA". It matches the Rfam family "Bacterial small subunit ribosomal RNA", at positions 15 to 228 of the family's 1533-position model. The record is from RNAcentral.
GAUCCUGGCUCAGGACGAACGCUGGCGGCGUGCCUAACACAUGCAAGUCGAACGGAGCACCCUUGAAAGAGGCUUCGGCCAAUAGAUAGGAAUGCUUAGUGGCGGACGGGUGAGUAACGCGUGAGGAACCUGCCUCGGAGUGGGGGAUAACACAUCGAAAGGUGUGCUAAUACCGCAUAAUGUACAGAGAUCGCAUGGUAAUUGUACCAAAGAUUUAUUGCUCUGAGAUGG